This 513-nucleotide ribosomal RNA is filed under the name uncultured Sphingobacterium sp. Its description in RNAcentral is "bacterial SSU rRNA". It matches the Rfam family "Bacterial small subunit ribosomal RNA", at positions 9 to 516 of the family's 1533-position model. Lineage: Bacteria; Pseudomonadati; Bacteroidota; Sphingobacteriia; Sphingobacteriales; Sphingobacteriaceae. The record is from RNAcentral.
GAGUUUGAUCUUGGCUCAGGAUGAACGCUAGCGGCAGGCUUAAUACAUGCAAGUCGAGGGGCAGCAUGGUGUAGCAAUACACUGAUGGCGACCGGCAAACGGGUGCGGAACACGUACACAACCUUCCUUCGAGCGGGGAAUAGCCCAGAGAAAUUUGGAUUAAUACCCCAUAGUAUAUUGGAGAGGCAUCUCUUUAAUAUUAAAGAUUUAUCACUUGAAGAUGGGUGUGCGGCUGAUUAGGUAGUUGGCGGGGUAACGGCCCACCAAGCCUGCGAUCAGUAACUGGUGUGAGAGCACGACCAGUCACACGGGCACUGAGACACGGGCCCGACUCCUACGGGAGGCAGCAGUAAGGAAUAUUGGUCAAUGGACGCAAGUCUGAACCAGCCAUGCCGCGUGGAGGAUGAAGGUCCUCUGGAUUGUAAACUUCUUUUAUCUGGGACGAAAAAGGCUUUUCUAAGUCGUCUGACGGUACCAGAUGAAUAAGCACCGGCUAACUCCGUGCCAGCCGCC